Molecule: ribosomal RNA, 492 nt
Filed under: uncultured bacterium
Lineage: Bacteria
Description: partial 16S ribosomal RNA
Rfam family: Bacterial small subunit ribosomal RNA
Source: RNAcentral
AGUGAACGCUGGCGGUAGGCCUAACACAUGCAAGUCGAACGGCAGCACAGUAAGAGCUUGCUCUUACGGGUGGCGAGUGGCGGACGGGUGAGGAAUACAUCGGAAUCUACUUUUUCGUGGGGGAUAACGUAGGGAAACUUACGCUAAUACCGCAUACGACCUACGGGUGAAAGCAGGGGAUCUUCGGACCUUGCGCGAUUGAAUGAGCCGAUGUCGGAUUAGCUAGUUGGCGGGGUAAAGGCCCACCAAGGCGACGAUCCGUAGCUGGUCUGAGAGGAUGAGCAGCCGCACUGGAACGUAGACACGGUCCGGACGCCUACGGGCGGCAGCAGUGGGGAGUAGUGGACAAGGGGGGCGAGCCUGAUCCAGCCAUACCGCGUGGGUGAAGAAGGCCUUCGGGUUGUAAAGUCCUUUUGUUGGGAAAGAAAAGCAGCAGGUUAAUACCCCGCUGUUAUGACGGUAACCAAAGAAUAAGCACCGGCUAACUUCGUG